This 253-nucleotide ribosomal RNA is filed under the name uncultured bacterium. RNAcentral's name for it is "partial 16S ribosomal RNA". It matches the Rfam family "Bacterial small subunit ribosomal RNA", at positions 524 to 776 of the family's 1533-position model. The record is from RNAcentral.
UACGUAGGGUGCGAGCGUUGUCCGGAAUUAUUGGGCGUAAAGGGCUCGUAGGCGGUUUGUCACGUCGGGAGUGAAAACUCGGGGCUUAACCCCGAGCCUGCUUCCGAUACGGGCAGACUAGAGGUAUGCAGGGGAGAACGGAAUUCCUGGUGUAGCGGUGAAAUGCGCAGAUAUCAGGAGGAACACCGGUGGCGAAGGCGGUUCUCUGGGCAGUAACUGACGCUGAGGAGCGAAAGCAUGGGGAGCGAACAGG